RNAcentral lists this ribosomal RNA (421 nucleotides) under uncultured Methanoculleus sp. Its description in RNAcentral is "bacterial SSU rRNA". It matches the Rfam family "Archaeal small subunit ribosomal RNA", at positions 322 to 747 of the family's 1478-position model. Lineage: Archaea; Methanobacteriati; Methanobacteriota; Methanomicrobia; Methanomicrobiales; Methanomicrobiaceae. The record is from RNAcentral.
CCUAUGGGGGGCAGCAGGCGCGAAAACUUUACAAUGCGGGCAACCGUGAUAAGGGAACCUCGAGUGCCUGUAUAUGCAGGCUGUCCAGGUGUCUAAAGAACACCUGAAGAAAGGGCCGGGCAAGACCGGUGCCAGCCGCCGCGGUAAUACCGGCGGCUCGAGUGGUGGCCACUUUUAUUGGGCUUAAAGCGUUCGUAGCUGGGUUAUUAAGUCUCUUGGGAAAUCCGACGGCUCAACUGUCGGGCGUCUAAGAGAUACUGGUAAUCUUGGAACCGGGAGAGGUGAGGGGUACUUCGGGGGUAGGAGUGAAAUCCUGUAAUCCUCGAGGGACCACCUGUGGCGAAGGCGCCUCACCAGAACGGCUUCGACAGUGAGGGACGAAAGCUGGGGGAGCAAACCGGAUUAGAUACCCCCGUAGUCC